GCGGAUGAAGGGAGCUUGCUCCUGGAUUCAGCGGCGGACGGGUGAGUAAUGCCUAGGAAUCUGCCUGGUAGUGGGGGAUAACGUCCGGAAACGGGCGCUAAUACCGCAUACGUCCUGAGGGAGAAAGUGGGGGAUCUUCGGACCUCACGCUAUCAGAUGAGCCUAGGUCGGAUUAGCUAGUUGGUGGGGUAAAGGCCUACCAAGGCGACGAUCCGUAACUGGUCUGAGAGGAUGAUCAGUCACACUGGAACUGAGACACGGUCCAGACUCCUACGGGAGGCAGCAGUGGGGAAUAUUGGACAAUGGGCGAAAGCCUGAUCCAGCCAUGCCGCGUGUGUGAAGAAGGUCUUCGGAUUGUAAAGCACUUUAAGUUGGGAGGAAGGGCAGUAAGU
Molecule: ribosomal RNA, 392 nt
Filed under: Pseudomonas aeruginosa
Lineage: Bacteria; Pseudomonadati; Pseudomonadota; Gammaproteobacteria; Pseudomonadales; Pseudomonadaceae
Description: bacterial SSU rRNA
Rfam family: Bacterial small subunit ribosomal RNA
Source: RNAcentral